GACGAACGCUGGCGGCGUGCCUAAUACAUGCAAGUUGAGCGCUGAAGGUUGGUACUUGUACCAACUGGAUGAGCAGCGAACGGGUGAGUAACGCGUGGGGAAUCUGCCUUUGAGCGGGGGACAACAUUUGGAAACGAAUUCUAAUACCGCAUAAAAACUUUAAACACAAGUUUUAAGUUUGAAAGAUGCAAUUGCAUCACUCAAAGAUGAUCCCGCGUUGUAUUAGCUAGUUGGUGAGGUAAAGGCUCACCAAGGCGAUGAUACAUAGCCGACCUGAGAGGGUGAUCGGCCACAUUGGGACUGAGACAAGGCCCAAACUCCUACGGGAGGCAGCAGUAGGGAAUCUUCGGCAAUGGACGAAAGUCUGACCGAGCAACGCCGCGUGAGUGAAGAAGGGUUUCGGAUCGUAAAACUCUGUUGGUAGAGAAGAACGUUGGUGAGAGUGGAAAGCUCAUCAAGUGACGGUAACUACACAGAAAGGGACGGCUAACUACGUG
Molecule: ribosomal RNA, 497 nt
Filed under: uncultured bacterium
Lineage: Bacteria
Description: partial 16S ribosomal RNA
Rfam family: Bacterial small subunit ribosomal RNA
Source: RNAcentral